This is a non-coding RNA of Triticum aestivum (bread wheat), 135 nucleotides long. NCBI's taxonomy places the organism in Eukaryota, Viridiplantae, Streptophyta, Magnoliopsida, Poales, Poaceae. The record is from Rfam.
AAAGUACUUCCUCCGUCCGAAAAUACUUGUCAUCAAAAUGUAUAAAAGGAGAUGCAUUUAGACGUAUUUUAGUUUUAGAUAUGUCUUUUUUUAUCCAUUUUGAUGACAAGUAUUUUCGGACGAAGGAAGUAGAGG